ACGCUGGCGGCAUGCCUUACACAUGCAAGUCGAACGGCAGCACGGGAGCAAUCCUGGUGGCGAGUGGCGAACGGGUGAGUAAUAUAUCGGAACGUGCCCAGUCGUGGGGGAUAACGUAGCGAAAGCUACGCUAAUACCGCAUACGAUCUAUGGAUGAAAGCGGGGGAUCGCAAGACCUCGCGCGAUUGGAGCGGCCGAUAUCAGAUUAGGUAGUUGGUGAGGUAAAGGCUCACCAAGCCGACGAUCUGUAGCUGGUCUGAGAGGACGACCAGCCACACUGGGACUGAGACACGGCCCCAGACUCCUACGGGAGGCAGCAGUGAGGAAUUUUGGACAAUGGGCGCAAGCCUGAUCCAGCAAUGCCGCGUGCAGGAUGAAGGCCUUCGGUUGUAAACUGCUUUGUACGGAACGAAACGGUGAGCUCUAAUACAGUUUGCUAAUGACGGUACCGUAAGAAUAAGCACCGGCUAACUACGUG
This 478-nucleotide ribosomal RNA is filed under the name uncultured bacterium. RNAcentral describes it as "bacterial SSU rRNA". It matches the Rfam family "Bacterial small subunit ribosomal RNA", at positions 33 to 507 of the family's 1533-position model. The record is from RNAcentral.